CUGUUUGGGGUCCUCCUGCUAAGGGAGGUUCAGAUGGGAAAUAAGGAAAAAUCUCUCCGUUACGAGGCAGUUGAGUGCUGGAACAGGCUGCUGGCAAGGCGGGUGAUGCCUUGUGCUUGGCAGCCAGGCUCAGAGGGGCCCUUCCCAGCUGAGCUGCUCCAUCCUGAGAUCCUUCAGUCCCAGUGCGUGCGCUCAGAGCACGGAAGGUGAACGCCUGGCAUCUGCAUCUGCUGGUGACCGCGUGGAUCGCAGGAUCACAGAAUCAUUGAGGUUGGAAGAGACCUCCAAGAUCAUCACUCCAACCCAUGCCCACUGAGCGUCCCUCAGUGCCACAUCUCCAUGGUUCUCCAUUGGGGCGAAGAGCUGCAGGACGCAGCGCGGGGCGGCAGUAAUCCCUCCUGGGAACGCUUCUCCGUGUCCCUCAGAGGACCUGUUCCUCAAUUCCCAUGGGAAAAUGGAACAGAAGGGGGAGGUGGCCGUCGCUGCCUAUUGAAGCAGCUCAGCCUCUGAUUACGCCAAGGUCUGCUGAUUAAAGCUUUGCUCGUUAACUUAAUUUUCCCCGCUUCGCUGACAGCCGAGCGGCUCGUGACGCAGCCAGUGUCGUUUCCAGCACCAAUUUGGGGCGUUUGCAGUCAACCUGGGAGCUUGCAGCAUGCAACCAAGUUGGACUCGUUGAUCCUCAUGGACCCCUUCCAGCUUGUGAUGUUCUGAGAUGCUGAGCAGGGAAGCUUUUCCAUCUCAAAUAUCCAAAUAUGUUUUAGAUUCUCCUCUCUUGUUUUAUUACUGGGUUGGAUUUUUUUUUUAUUGGGUGCUGGGGCACAGAUUUGGCUCGAGGGCCCUGGAAUCAUAAAAUCAUUAAGGUUGAAGAAGACCUCCAAGAUCAUCAAGUCCAUCUGUUGACCCAUCACCACCAUGCCCACUACUCACGUCCCCAGGUGCCACAUCUACAUGUUUCUUCAAUCCUUUUUGUUAUUAUUUUAUGUUCCUACCCUUCCUUUCUCCACCACUCCAUGAAGCUUGAAGCAAUUUUCCAUCUCUCUCCCAAGUUGUCAUCCCUUAUUCUUGUGCCCAAGCAAUGCAAUGCUGUGGCUCAGAAUUGGAAUCUCUCUUCUUUUUUGUCCUAAAGCUGCUGUCAGAAGCAAGCAGCAGCGCAGCAGAUGGCAGCGUACCAGUAUUAAAUGGUUCUGAGACUGUAGGCUGCUGCUGCUGGCGGCACAGUGCGUGGUGUAUGGGCAAAGCAUUCUGCCAGCAGAGAUUUUUGGCAUGUUCUCAAAGGAUUGGUCAGCCUGCCCAGGGCAAUGCAUAUACGACAUGGGUUUAGGCUUGCAAGGGAAUGGCUAUAAUAAGAUUAUCAUUAUUUUUUUUCCCUUGUAGCAUUUCUCUUCUGGCUGAGCGUGUUUGUGGAGGGCUGGCGUGGGAUGUGCAGAGCCUUUGCUGUGAGUCAAAUGGGUCAAAUGACCAGGGGUCUCCCUGGCCUCUUAGGUCCCUUCCAACUGAUCCAUUCUGAGUUCUUCAAGGUCCCUUCCAACCAAUCCAUUCUGAGUCCUUCAAGGUCCCUUCCAACCCAUCCAUUCUGAGUCCUUCAAGGUCCCUUCCAACCCAUCCAUUCUGAGACCUUCAGGAUCCCUUCUAACCCAUCCUGAGACCUUCAGGAUCCCUUCCAACCCAACCAUUCUGAGUCCUUCAAGGUCCCUUCCAACCCAUCCAUUCUGAGUCCUUCAGGAUCCCUUCCAACCCAACCAUUCUGAGUUCUUCAAGGUCCCUUCCAACCCAUCCAUUCUGAGUCCUUCAGGAUCCCUUCUAACCCAUCUUGAGACCUUCAGGAUCCCUUCCAACCCAACCAUUCUGAGUCCUUCAAGGUCCCUUCCAACCCAUCCAUUCUGAGUCCUUCAGGGUCCCUUCCAACCCAUCCAUCUUUGACUCUGGGAUUCUGGCAUUCCAUAACCCAAAUGAUGAUGUGGUCAGUUAAAGUCAACGCAGGCUUGCUGCGAUGCUGCCUUUCUCACUCUCCUGCCCUGUUUCCUCUUGCCUCCUCUCCAAGUUUGAUUUGAACAGAAAUGUAUCAUCCCAGUCAUUCUGUCAGCCAAUAUUCGAAUGCUCGUGCCAGCUGCAAUUUUGCCUUUUAAAGACAAUCUCAAGCUGCAUGCUCCAUGGCAGAGCCAUGUGCCAUGUUCAGAGUACACUCCUUUCUCCUGGAGGAUCCUGCAGCUUUACCCAGCCCUGAUGUUUUACUGUUCAGAGAGCUCCAUGUCCCCGGAGCACUGCAAACCUCGUGGGGAAAAUCAUUUGUUUUAAAAAUGAAUUUUUCUCUGAUGAUAAAAUCUAGCAGCAGGAUCUCAUAAACAGCCUGAUUGGAUCAGAUCUGCAUCUGAAGCAUCGCUGGAGUGCUGCUGGGUAGUGCAGAUAUCUGCACACUCUGGGUAUUCCUCACUUCAAAAGAAGUAGUUCAAGAGAGUGGAAAACAUUUCGAGAAACACUUUGAUAAUGCCCUCAGGAAUGUGCUUUAAUGUUUGGUUGUCCCUGCUGGGAGCAGGCAGUUGCCCCUGAUGAGUUUGUGGGUCCCUUUUGAGUCAUUCUUCUCUUCAUUCCAUUCUAUUCUGUUUUUCUCCAUUCUCCUCCUUCUCUUUCUCCUUCCUUCUUCUCCAUUCUCCUCCUCCGUUCUCCUUCUCCUCCUCCAUCCUUCUUCUCCUUCUCCUCCUCCAUUCUCUUCCAUUCCAGACACCAGCAGGUCCAUGAGCCCUGGGAAGAUGUUUCUUGCCACAAAGCCCCAGCCUUCAGUCUCUGCAAACGCUUUUGGUUAAAAGCUCACAACUACUCCAAAGCUGGGCUGUGUUGAAGGCAGAGGGUGGGACACAGGCAGCAAUGCAGCGAGCUAAUGAGAAAAUGAGACUUGAGCUCAACUUUUAAGAGCUGGGUGGCUCCGCUAAAAGCUGCAUCUGUUUUGGUGUUGACUUGACAAAAAGCCUUGAAUUGGAGAGUUCAUCAUUUUCUGUCCCCUUGGGAAGGAGAUCUCUGAGCACCAGGAGCUGGGAGCAGCCCGACGUUUAUUAACUUGUCGAACUCACUCUUGCAAGUUAGCCUGAAGCUGGGCAGACCUCUAAUUCACUCCGCUCCCCGUCGUUUUAUUUGCAGCAGGAGGCUCGAAUGCUUUUUCCUUGGGCUCUCGCUCCCCCUUGUGACCAUGUGUGGCUUUUGCAGCCCAUCGCAUGCGUUAAACUCUCACUAUCUUCAUUCUCGGAGCAGCCUGUCGUGCUGCUGAGUGCAGCCUCGUCCCCACACUUCUGGUGCCGCAGCAGGAACUGAGCCAUUAAAUUCCACCCGACUUUUCAGCGGAGGACCUGGUGUGCAAAUAGUCUUAAAGGACGACGUUGUUCUGCUCGUUCCAUCCAGAAUUGCUAAUUCUCCUUCUCCAGUGAAACCUUUGCUCAUGUUUUUGGUGACCAUGAAGACUUGGGACUCUUCUCUGCUUUGAAAUAUACUGCGAAGAAAGAGUUGCCUUGGUUCCCUGAGCCUGGUGCUCACCUCAUCUCUCUGAAUUGGGAAUUUUAAAGCUUUUCCUAAACUUUUCUUGUCCCUUGAAUCGAUGGCAGCCAGGCUACACAGUUUUUUUGUGGUGUUUUUGUUGUUGGUGUUUUUGUUUUUUGCCAGUGAAAGGUGUAGAAUAGAACAGCUCCACUGGAAGGGACCUACAGAGAUCAUUGAGUCCAACUGCCUGACAGCCUCAGCAGUUCUAAGGACAGGAUUAGAGAUGGGUCAGUGUUUGGACACGAUGAUCUCAGAGGUCUUUUCCAACCUUAAUGAUUCAGUGAUUCUCUUGAACACUGAUGUGGGCAGGCUGGAAUACAUGACCCAGUCUUGAUGCAGACGUGCAAUGGGACAGCAAUCCUUGGUGCAGACGUGCAACUGCAUGGUGGUCCUUGAUGCAGGUGUGCACAGGUCGAUGGUCCUUGGUGCAAAUGGCUGCAGGAUGAUGAGGUCCAGCAGGACUGGACCCUAUGCAGUCAACUCACCCAACUUCUGCUAAAGACUCGUAUCCCAUUUGUUGACCCAUACUCCUGUUUUGUUGACAGGGACAGCCAAGUGUCCUCGUUCUUUAUUUAAGUAUUUGGAAGGCUAAGAAGAGCAUGGGAGAGAGAACCUGGAGUGUCAGCAUGGCUUGUAAGUCAGCAGCUCUUCCUCCUUAUGGUAACGGUGCUGGCAAACGAUGGGAGUGAGUUGCUGCAGUUCACCAGGGAAUCCUGCAAGAGCAAAUCCUGUAGGUUUGGAAAAUCUCAGCUACUUGUCCCUCGGGGCAGCAGCAGGCAGGCUUCGUGCAUUUUUGCUGGUAAGGUAUUUUGUGUGUUGCUUGGAGCUGAGGAUAAAAUAGCCCAAAGCUGGAAGCAGUGCUGAACAGAAGCUGCUUUCACUCAGGAAGGAGGAGCGUGCCAGCAGGGCGAAAAUCUCACCAAAACCCAACAAACUUUCCCCAGUUUCUGUUCACGGAGGUGAUUCACACAAAAUCCAUCUGUUUUGCAGUGAAAAGAGGAAAAGAGGAGGAAAAUAAGGUGUGUUAACACUGGAUUUUUCUGCCUGCUAGCAGCAGAGGGAGCUGCAGCUGAGUCAGCCAGCUCCACCUCUGCUUUUCUGAGCAACACACAAGUCCUUUAAGACUAUUUCUGAUUCUUCAUAAAGCCAUGGAAUUACACAGUCUAUUGGCAACCAUAUUGAGUUUAAAUCCAGUAAUAGAGGCAUCUGGGUGGCUGCAGCUGUAGAAAUGAUUGUAUUGGGGGCAGAAAUGAGGAACCCAGCAAACUCCUGGAGCUGGGCACGGGGCUGACACUGAUGGAGCUGGGGAAUGGCAGCUGCUGCACUGCUGCUUUCCAUAUGCCAGCAUGGAUGGUGAGUUACUUACCGUGCUAUUUUCAUUCCCACAUCACUGUCUGAUGGCUGCUGUAGGGAACUGGAAGUCUCAAGAGGAGUUGGGCAUGCUCGGGUCUCACUGAUCUGCUUUUGGACACAGUGGUUUUGGGAUGCAGUGAUAGUGCCAUUGGGUUCCAGUAACACUGGGAUAUGGUGACAGUGGUAUAUGGUGAUGUUGGGUACAGUGGCACUGAGAUAGAGGGAUAUGAUGAUGUUGUGAUGUGGUUGUGUUGGGAUGUGGUGACACUGGGAUGCGGUGACAUGGUGGGAGGAUGGCGUUGGGAUACGGUGGUGUAGGGAUACAGAGAAAUAGAGAUAAAAAGGCACUGAGGUACAGUGGCAUUGGGAUAUGAUGACACUGGGACAUGGUGGCAUUGGGAAACAGCAGUGCUGGGAUACAGUGACGUCGGGACACGAUGGCACACAGCCAGCAGGAGAGUCAAUGAAAUUCAAGAUCUCCUGGACAUGCUCCACUGCCAGGACCCUUCUCCAGCAUCAGCUUCCAAACUGCCGGUGACUGAUGACACAGGACAUGGUCCCUGCCCAGUUUCAUGGCUGCUUUGCAUUAAGAGCUAAUUUUAUACCAAUUUGGGACUGGUGGGGAGGAGGAGGAGUGGGAGAAAACACGGCACGUUUCAGGGGACUCAGUGUUUCAUCAGCUAAGAGAUCAGCAUAGCAAUUAUUAUCUCUUUAACUAUUUCAAUUCUCAUUAUCAAAUUAAUUCUUCAAUCAGAUUCUGACAUUGCCAUAGCACCUGUGACACUGCAGCCACGGCUCAGGGCAGCGUGUGCUUCGUGUCGGUAGCAGAGAGGGCUGGAAACAGGAAAACAUGCUUUUCUCUGCUUGGUUUCUCUGAUGGAAAGAAUUCCCCAAGCAGCUGAAAAUACAUCGACCUUGCUCCAAAAACCAGGCAGGGCUGGGAGGCAGAAGGCGUGCAUCUGGAGCUCAACUCGACGUUGUCCACGGGACUCAUUUUCCUAGGUUUCCACUCAUCUCUUUCUAUUUUUGGAGUCGUUCCUCUCGGUAUUUCUUCUAAAAAUACUGAGGUCACCAGAAUAAGAAGUUUAUAUGCUCACACAAAGCUAUUCUUAGUGCUUGAUCUUUGUCUACAAGUGCAACCCAUGCGUGGAGGUUGGCUCCGAACUCAUCGUUCGUCUCCAUGUCCCACGUCGGGUGCCCUCAGCGGAGCUUCCUGAGGCUCUGUGGAUUUCACAGCUUCUUUCUGUAAGACCACGCUUCACCAUUCAGCGCCUUGUUCCUUUUCUGUGAUCUUUUUUAGCUUUUCACCCAUAUGGCGUGCACAUCAGCAACAAAGAAAUGAGCUUUCGUAGAAUAGAAUAUCUUGAGUUGGAAGAGACCCGUGAGGAUCAUCGAGUCCAGCUCCUGACAACGUCGUGUUGGUAGUGAUGAACUUUGCAUCACGUGCAGCUUUGCUUAUUGCUUCAAAUUUGGUGGGGUUUUUUGGUGCUGAUCGGUACCUUGCAAAGAGCAGAGCAACAGAUCUGUCCCGCUCUGUGAUCUUCCUCUUUAGGAGCCCUGGAUCCUGGUGCUGUUGAAUUUGGUGCGCUGAGAUGAGCGCCACAUGAUGACUUCAUUGAAAUUCUGAAUUUAAGUUCUGAGCAGAGUUUGUGAUCCUGAUUUUAACUCAACUGAUUUGAAUUCUGUGUGCUUUCUCGGGUCAGUGUGGAAGCGAACAAUCACGCUUUAAAUAAUGAUUAGCCUAAGCCUCAGAA
Molecule: long non-coding RNA, 6632 nt
Organism: Tympanuchus pallidicinctus (lesser prairie-chicken)
Lineage: Eukaryota; Metazoa; Chordata; Aves; Galliformes; Phasianidae
Exons: 2
Source: RefSeq, a predicted model, not a curated record